This 497-nucleotide ribosomal RNA is filed under the name uncultured bacterium. RNAcentral's name for it is "partial 16S ribosomal RNA". It matches the Rfam family "Bacterial small subunit ribosomal RNA", at positions 28 to 507 of the family's 1533-position model. The record is from RNAcentral.
GACGAACGCUGGCGGCGUGCCUAAUACAUGCAAGUUGAGCGCUGAAGGUUGGUACUUGUACCAACUGGAUGAGCAGCGAACGGGUGAGUAACGCGUGGGGAAUCUGCCUUUGAGCGGGGGACAACAUUUGGAAACGAAUGCUAAUACCGCAUAAAAACUUUAAACACAAGUUUUAAGUUUGAAAGAUGCAAUUGCAUCACUCAAAGAUGAUCCCGCGUUGUAUUAGCUAGUUGGUGAGGUAAAGGCUCACCAAGGCGAUGAUACAUAGCCGACCUGAGAGGGUGGUCGGCCACAUUGGGAGUGAGAACCGGCCCAAACUCCUAGGGGAGGCAGCCGUAGGGAAUCUUCGGCAAUGGACGAAAGUUUGACCGAGCAACGCCGCGUGCGUGAAGAAGGUUGUCGGGUCGUAAAACUCUGUUGGUAGAGAAUAACGUUGGUGAGAGUGGAAAGCUGAGCAAGUGACGGUAACUACACAGAAAGGGACGGCUAACUACGUG